CCCGCUACGCUUUUUUUUUCACCCUUCCUCUAUUAAAACCUAAAACCACCGGCCGCCAACGCCCCUUCCAAUCACCGCCGCCGCCGCCGCCGCCGCCGCCUCCUCCACCCGCUCCUCCGCCUGAACCCUAGCCAUGGCGUGGCGCGGCGCUGCGUCCCGCACCGUCCUCGCCGCGGUCCGCCGCCCGGCACCCUCCGCCGCGCUCGGCGGCCUCCGCGCCCCUCCUCCCUUCGCGGCCCCGCGCCGCCGGAUCCCUUCCCCCUUCGCCCCCUCCCACUCCACCUCCCCGCUCGGGGCCGCACGGCCCCUGGCGGCCAUGAUGGGGUCGCCGCUGACGGCGGCGGUGGUGCUAGGGCGGAUGACGGCGCACCCGUCUGCCAGCGCCCGGGCCUGCUGCGAGCUCUCCCAGGGAAAUGGGGACGAUGGUUGAUGUUGGAGGCUGGCCAGCAUGACGGGGACUUUAUCUCCUAGAAUGAUGUAGGUCCCCUCCUCUUCCCAGUUCUGUAUUUCUUUUGCGACUAGUAAUUUAACAAACUGCAAGAUAGUAAUUGCAUUGAAAAAGUAAAAAAGCAAGAACAUAGGUAACUGUUGAGUGUUGGCUUUGUAGAAUCGUAUUACACUGUUGUGUCUCAAAUGUUCAAAAUGUCUUCUCCUUUUUAGCCCAUUUAUCUCUUCCCAGUUAGCCCUUUGUUGCUAUACCUUCUCUUCCUAAUGCUAAGAGCACACAUGCUUCACUGUUAGUAAGUUUUUACAAAUUUGAAUAGCUAUAUUGUGCACUUCAAUAUUGAAACUUCAAUUGAUUGAGGAUAUGUAUGGUUGGGCUUUCUUAGGGAAUGGAAAAGAUGGGUGAUGCGGGAGAGGCAAGGGUAGAGCAUAGCUAAGGUACUUGAAUUUGCCAUGUUGAUUCACCAUCCUUUUUAAAGAGGAUACAAAUCUUGGAUUCGUCUUUUGGAAAGCUAUUCUGGGGCCGUCCUUUUAAUCCUUGAGUUAUUAGAAGCAUGUCUCCAACAAAAUAGCUUCUCUCCAAAUUACUAGCCUAGACUGAAAAUAAUCUUCCUGUCAUGUGACAUGGUUUAUGUCAUGGAUUUAGCUUCUACUUUUGUAGCGAAAUACCUUUGUGUUGCCUGCUAAGAGGAUUUGGUGGCACAUUUUAUAUGAUUUCUUAGAUUGGAAGGUAUCUCUGUUCCACGAGCAACAACUGUGGUCACACUGUCAUUUUAGUUUCCAGUUGAGCAAUGAUGCUUGAGAUGUGUGUGUCUGAUUUCCAA
RNA transcript from Triticum aestivum (bread wheat), 1268 nucleotides. RefSeq lists it as uncharacterized. The transcript has 4 exons. The record is from RefSeq and is a predicted model, not a curated record. NCBI's taxonomy places the organism in Eukaryota, Viridiplantae, Streptophyta, Magnoliopsida, Poales, Poaceae.